This 121-nucleotide non-coding RNA is filed under the name Pan paniscus (pygmy chimpanzee). Lineage: Eukaryota; Metazoa; Chordata; Mammalia; Primates; Hominidae. RNAcentral also lists the same sequence under 1 other name. The record is from Rfam by way of RNAcentral.
GCUGGGUGCGGUGGCUCAUACCUGUAAUCCCAGCACUUUGGGAGGCUGAGAUGGGAGGAUCACCUGAGGUCAGGAGUUCGAGACUAACUAGCCUGGUCAACAUGGUGAAACCCCAUCUCUA